ACCUGCACCAGUACCACCGCAAGGCUACAAUCUCAUCAGAUCUCAAGAUAAACAGGUUGGGCCUGAUCAGUGCUCGGAUGGGUGUCCUCCCAAGAAAACAAGAAUGCUGCAAGGA
This 115-nucleotide ribosomal RNA is filed under the name Chrysemys picta bellii (western painted turtle). Lineage: Eukaryota; Metazoa; Chordata; Testudines; Emydidae. The record is from RNAcentral.